UACGUAGGGUGCAAGCGUUAAUCGGAAUUACUGGGCGUAAAGCGUGCGCAGGCGGUGAUGUAAGACAGAUGUGAAAUCCCCGGGCUCAACCUGGGAACUGCAUUUGUGACUGCAUCGCUGGAGUGCGGCAGAGGGGGAUGGAAUUCCGCGUGUAGCAGUGAAAUGCGUAGAGAUGCGGAGGAACACCGAUGGCGAAGGCAGCCCCCCUGGGCUAGCACGUGACGCUCAGGCACGAAAGCGUGGGGAGCAAACAGG
Molecule: ribosomal RNA, 255 nt
Filed under: uncultured bacterium
Lineage: Bacteria
Description: partial 16S ribosomal RNA
Rfam family: Bacterial small subunit ribosomal RNA
Source: RNAcentral